Molecule: ribosomal RNA, 461 nt
Filed under: Pseudomonas sp.
Lineage: Bacteria; Pseudomonadati; Pseudomonadota; Gammaproteobacteria; Pseudomonadales; Pseudomonadaceae
Description: bacterial SSU rRNA
Rfam family: Bacterial small subunit ribosomal RNA
Source: RNAcentral
UGCAGUCGAGCGGCAGCACGGGUACUUGUACCUGGUGGCGAGCGGCGGACGGGUGAGUAAUGCCUAGGAAUCUGCCUGGUAGUGGGGGAUAACGCUCGGAAACGGACGCUAAUACCGCAUACGUCCUACGGGAGAAAGCAGGGGACCUUCGGGCCUUGCGCUAUCAGAUGAGCCUAGGUCGGAUUAGCUAGUUGGUGAGGUAAUGGCUCACCAAGGCGACGAUCCGUAACUGGUCUGAGAGGAUGAUCAGUCACACUGGAACUGAGACACGGUCCAGACUCCUACGGGAGGCAGCAGUGGGGAAUAUUGGACAAUGGGCGAAAGCCUGAUCCAGCCAUGCCGCGUGUGUGAAGAAGGUCUUCGGAUUGUAAAGCACUUUAAGUUGGGAGGAAGGGCAUUUACCUAAUACGUAAGUGUUUUGACGUUACCGACAGAAUAAGCACCGGCUAACUCUGGUGACC